UUCUACUAUUCCCAAAACACAUCAAUUUUAGGGUAUUCUUGAUGUAAUUUACGAAGAAAUCAAGCAAAUCAGACAAAGCAAGACAUUCGAAGAUUUAUGUGGUCCUUGAGAAGAUGAAGAAGGAAAAUUCAAGAGGCAUCAGAAGACUUUACAAAUGGAGGAAUUUGUUCCCAAGUUUCAAUACAUCUUACAUUGAAGAAAACACCUAAACUGGCGAAAAAAAUAGGCAAAACAACACAGAAAACGCACUGAGGCGCCCAAACGCGCCUUAGAGUGGGCUAGGCACCCCCAGAGCUGUUGAAAUAAAGCACCUAGUGCAUGCCAGGGAGCUCUAGGUGCCUCAGGCUGGCAAGCACAUGCGCCUAGCGCAUGGCCUUAGGUGCCUAGCGCAUGGUGACUUACGAAAAAAGUAAUUUUUUGUGACUUUUUCGCCCCUAUAAGCCCAUGUGUUUAGCCCAAGUUAGGUGAAACUUUCUCUAUAAAUACCGCCUUCCUCAUUCAUAAUCUCUUGCUCAGAACUGGAGCAAUUCAAGAAAAAUGUGAUUCUUUGAGCCAAAGAGGAGUUCUAUCUUCUCCUAUCUUUUCUAGCGUAUUUUUUUAUCUUUUUGUAUUUUGUCUUGGUUAUCAUGUGUAACUAAAUACUUAUAGGCUAGGGUUCUAAGAUAAACCGCUUCUAAGAUAAACCGCUAUUUGUUUUGUUGUAUAAUAUUUUAAUUCAAUGUCGUUUAUUUUAGUAUGUUUUAUGUUCGCUGUUAAGUUUUAUUAGGAUUAGUUUAUUCCGACGAAGUGCAACUCUAGAUUAGGUAUUUAGGUUGUGAGCGGGUCUAAUAUUGAUCUUACUGUCCUGAUGUUUAUAUCUGGAUAUUUAUAUCUUGUAUAUUAAUAUCUACCUAUCUAAAAAGUAAGUGAUUAAUAACUAGACGAAAGAUAUACCAAGAGUGAGUUGAGCCUAGUAGUAAGUACAACUUUACUAACUUGUCAUCAUUUAAAUAUUUUUUUUUUUUUUUACCUUUCAUGAGAGUAAAGUGAAAAAAUACAUUUUUAUAUCAUCAUAAAGUUACGUAGGAAUAUAAAGCACCCUUAGAUAUUUAUGAACAAUCUAACUUUUUUUAUUAAAUCAUUGGAUCAUAAAGAAUUUAUAUUUAAACAAUUUCAUUGCAUAAUUUAUUCAACUUUCUUAUUGACAUCAAUUGUAUGAAUCAAAUAUAUACCAUUGGCCCCUUUCUUGUAUAUUGAUAGGCUUUUAGCAAGUGUAUUAUAAACUACCAAAGCAAUAAAGUAUAAAAUUUGUAUCCACAUGGACUGCAUUAGUUUCUACUAGGCAAAGACAUAAUCAACACAGAUGUAUUAAAAUUUGGGGGUUGCACAAGGCAAAUAGUUUCUUUAACAAUCAUAAAUUAAAUAGCAAAAAGUAAAUGGUUUCAAAUCCCAUAUCCGUCAAUGUUUGGUAAUCUGCAUCUAAACCCUACAAUUGUUCUUCAAAUUUCAUUAUAUUUUUAAUAAAAACACAAUGUAACUUUUUUUUCCGUCUUAUUUUUGUUAGAGCAGUUCUUCUAAUUAUUUGUUCAUACCUUUUUUUUUUUAUAAAAUAGCAAAGUUUUAACAACAAACAUUAUAAUUAUUUUCUUUAAAACCAAUCAAAACUUUUUGUUGCCUCCGUACAAACUAAGGAAAAUAAUAACCUAAAAUGUUGAUAAAGGUAUUCGUUCGAAGUAAUAUUUUUAUAUUAUUGAUUAGAAUAUAAAUCUUUUUGGAUUAGUUACAUGACUAUUUUUUAUGUUUAGGGAUGUUUUUUUCAAUUAAAUAAAAGUUUGUUUUUUGAAAAAGUCUAUUUGAUUUAAAUAGGGGCUAAUUUUUACUAUUAGAGUCGGAUCUCCAAUUUCCUAGAAACGACCUCACACACACAUGUGUGUGUGUUAAGCAAAUUAGUCUAAAGACCCCGCGACACAUACGGAUAAUUGGGUCUCUUAAGCAUAUUGGUUCUGUAUUCAACUUUAGUACCGAGUAUGUACGAAAAAUAUAUUGUUGGAAUAGGCAAAUUCCAUGUUAGUGAUCUCUAAGCCUAGAGGAGGAUUUUGUUUAUCACAACUGUCUGAAAAAUUCUUUUCAAGUGGUAGUCAUUGGUC
Molecule: long non-coding RNA, 2126 nt
Filed under: Medicago truncatula (barrel medic)
Lineage: Eukaryota; Viridiplantae; Streptophyta; Magnoliopsida; Fabales; Fabaceae
Description: lncRNA gene20889
Source: RNAcentral